Molecule: long non-coding RNA, 508 nt
Organism: Lepidothrix coronata (blue-crowned manakin)
Lineage: Eukaryota; Metazoa; Chordata; Aves; Passeriformes; Pipridae
Exons: 3
Source: RefSeq, a predicted model, not a curated record
ACCAUUACGAGUGAUGGAGCCCUGCCUUUCUGAGGAUGGCUAACACCUGCCUGCCAAAAGGAAGCGGUGAAUUAAUUCCUUAUUUUAUUUUACUUGUGUGCACUUGGCUUUUGUUUUACCUAUUGAACUGUCUUUAUCUCAACCCCUGAGCUUUCUCACUUUUAUCCUUCUAAUUGUUUCCCCCAUCCCACCAGGGCUGAGUGAGUAAGUGCCUGUGUGGUGCUUAGCUGCUAGCUGGAGUUAAACUCUGACAUCACCCUGAUGCGUAAACUGCCUGGCACUUAACAGGAUUAGAGAGCUUGAUCCUCUACAGUCCAAGCGUUUGAAUUUUUUUUACCCUUUGAAAAUUAUCUGCCAAUUGAAUGCAAGAGUAGCUGAUUCAUGAAAAAGAGGAAUGCAAAAUCUGGUCCUAGCAGUUGUGUACCUUUCCCAAAGUGCAGCCUCACAGAUCCAAGGCAGAAUAAUACUGAGAAUAGAAGAGAAAAUGAAGAUAAUAGGAGUGUUAUCU